Molecule: long non-coding RNA, 1385 nt
Organism: Raphanus sativus (radish)
Lineage: Eukaryota; Viridiplantae; Streptophyta; Magnoliopsida; Brassicales; Brassicaceae
Exons: 3
Source: RefSeq, a predicted model, not a curated record
AAUUCUGCGUCACAUGGACUUGAUUUGGGCUUCUUACAUACUCUGACUUUAGCCCAAAGAUCAGGUGAUCGAACACAAACCCCUUCGUUUUCUCAGUUUCUUUCCGGCGGCGAUGAUGGCGAUUCUGUUUCUAUAAGUGAUGCGUUGCGAUUCCUGCGUGAUUACUCCCAGUGUCUUUAAUUCGUGAGUUCACUACAACCUCUUGCGUUGCUCAUAUGUUGACUUCGUGUUUAAAUAGUUGCAGGGAGACCAACCCUAAACAGCUUCUGUCUGAUUUGAAAAAUGGUCGUUGCAGGGAGACUGUUGUGACACAGGUCCUCCAUUUUUGAGAAGCAAGGAACGUGAGGAAGGAUGUAGAGCUUAUGAUUAUGGUAGAUGAGGUGGUAUUUAUUCACAUUUGAAUCUAUGAUAUUAUUCACAUUUGAAUCUAUGAUACUAUUCACAUCUGAAUCUAUGAUAGUUGAAGUCUUUGGCAAUUAUGUUUAUUGCAAAUGUUUGAUUGUUUAUUCUUGAUUGCAGUUGACUCUGAUCCAGGGAUCUAUACCCGUCAGCCCGUUUAACACCUCAUUAGAGAAUGAGCAAUUUAUGAGCUCACAACUCAAUUUACUUUCGUAUGUUUGGUCACUGCAGAGGUAAACCACAGAUUAAGGACCUGUUAUCGUGGGGAUCAUCAUGUGAGCUCAAAUCAUGAUCACUGUAAACAUGGCAAGAGGUGUGAUCAUCAUGAUGCGGUGAAUGCAUAGAAGAUUGUGCGGAGGAAGAGUUUUGAAAUCUCAGAGACAGAAAAAGUUAAGACUUCAGGUCUGAGAAGGAAGUCGUUGACUAAAAAGGUUCUCGGUACCAAACUAGACAAUUCUGUUGCUGCAAAGAGAGAUGCGUUGGCUGUAAAGCAACAACCAUGUGAUUCCGUGAACACUGAAACAUCUGGCCUUAAAAAAGAUGGUGAGGUGGCCAGAUCUGCUGAUGGUUCGAGGUUAAAAGCAAUGAUAAAGCUCAGAAUAACAAAGCAACAAAGAGUACUCUGACUGUUUCAGCUGUUGUUAAAAAGGUUAAUGAAAUGUAAAGUUCUGAUUUGAAGAAGGUUUCAAGAAUCAGUGAUGCUGAAAUUUCUAGGUUUCUGCUCCAGGAAUAAGCGAUGGAGAUGUAAAAGGGAAGACUGUGUGUGUUGUUGCAGCUAGCUUCAAAGGUGUUCAGAGUAAGAAGGAAGCAUCAUCUGAAACAAAGAAAAACAUGAGUAGUGGACAUAAAAGUUUGGCUACUCCUAAAAAGAUACGUGGUGAUGCAGAGCUUGAAGCAGAUCAAAGAUAUAUAAGAUCACUUGAACUUUUUUUUGUAAUUCAAUCGUUUUUAGUUUAGCUUUAGUUCAAAAAAAAAAACAUUUUGGA